CUUUCUUCACUUUGAUCAUAUUUGUCCUGAGGACUGUUCCUGGACUCAACUUCAUUAUCCAGAAACUAAGAGUGGGGGCAGCAGAAAACUAGAAGUCACAAGCCUUAAGUUUCCAGCCUCGUUUUUUGUUGCAGGUAGAAGAUUGUGAAC
Molecule: long non-coding RNA, 150 nt
Organism: Microtus oregoni (creeping vole)
Lineage: Eukaryota; Metazoa; Chordata; Mammalia; Rodentia; Cricetidae
Exons: 3
Source: RefSeq, a predicted model, not a curated record